This 459-nucleotide ribosomal RNA is filed under the name uncultured bacterium. RNAcentral's name for it is "partial 16S ribosomal RNA". It matches the Rfam family "Bacterial small subunit ribosomal RNA", at positions 338 to 795 of the family's 1533-position model. The record is from RNAcentral.
CCUACGGGUGGCAGCAGUGAGGAAUAUUGGUCAAUGGUCGGGAGACUGAACCAGCCAAGCCGCGUGAGGGAUGAAGGUACAGAGUAUCGUAAACCUCUUUUGUCAGGGAACAAAGGCGGGGACGUGUCCCCGGAUGAGUGUACCCGAAGAAAAAGCAUCGGCUAACUCCGUGCCAGCAGCCGCGGUAAUACGGAGGAUGCGAGCGUUAUCCGGAUUUAUUGGGUUUAAAGGGUGCGCAGACGGUCUGUUAAGUCAGUGGUAAAAGCCCGGGGCUCAACCCCGGCCCGCCGUUGAUACUGGCAGUCUCGAGUUGGAGAGAAGUAUGCGGAAUGCGCGGUGUAGCGGUGAAAUGCAUAGAUAUCGCGCAGAACUCCGAUUGCGAAGGCAGCAUGCCGGCUCCACACUGACGCUGAGGCACGAAAGCGUGGGUAUCGAACAGGAUUAGAUACCCCAGUAGUC